RNAcentral lists this non-coding RNA (28 nucleotides) under Bombyx mori (domestic silkworm). The record is from RNAcentral. Lineage: Eukaryota; Metazoa; Arthropoda; Insecta; Lepidoptera; Bombycidae.
UCACUCUCGAUCAGUUCCGAGUACAGGC